GACGAACGCUGGCGGCGUGCCUAAUACAUGCAAGUCGAACGCAGUGGGGACGGGUGAGUAAAACGUGGGUAACCUCCCAUCAGAGGGGAUAAAACUUGGCAAAAGGUGCUAAACCGCUACUGAUGGAUGGACCCGGGGUGCAUUAGCUAGUUGGUGAGGUAACGGCUCACCAAGGCCACGAUGCAUAGCUGGUCUGAGAGGGUGAUCGGCCACACUGGAACUGAGACACGGCCCAGACUCCUACGGGAGGCAGCAGUAGGGAAUCGUGGGCAAUGGACGAAAGUCUGACCGAGCAACGCCGCGUGAGUGAAGAAGGUUUUCGGAUCGUAAAGUUCUGUUGGUGGAGAAGCGUUAUCUGACCAGAAAGCCACGGCUAACUACGUGCCAGCAGCCGCGGUAAUAC
This 403-nucleotide ribosomal RNA is filed under the name uncultured bacterium. RNAcentral describes it as "partial 16S ribosomal RNA". It matches the Rfam family "Bacterial small subunit ribosomal RNA", at positions 28 to 526 of the family's 1533-position model. The record is from RNAcentral.